GACGAACGCUGGCGGCGUGCUUAACACAUGCGAGUCGAACGGAAAGGCCCUGCUUUUGUGGGGUGCUCGAGUGGCGAACGGGUGAGUAACACGUGAGUAACCUGCCCUUGACUUUGGGAUAACUUCAGGAAACUGGGGCUAAUACCGGAUAGGAGCUCCUGCUGCAUGGUGGGGGUUGGAAAGUUUCGGCGGUUGGGGAUGGACUCGCGGCUUAUCAGCUUGUUGGUGGGGUAGUGGCUUACCAAGGCUUUGACGGGUAGCCGGCCUGAGAGGGUGACCGGCCACAUUGGGACUGAGAUACGGCCCAGACUCCUACGGGAGGCAGCAGUGGGGAAUAUUGCACAAUGGGCGGAAGCCUGAUGUAGCAACGCCGCGUGCGGGAUGACGGCCUUCGGGUUGUAAACCGCUUUCGCCUGUGACGAAGCGUGAGUGACAGUAAUGGGUAAAGAAGCACCGGCUAACUACGUG
This 468-nucleotide ribosomal RNA is filed under the name uncultured bacterium. Its description in RNAcentral is "partial 16S ribosomal RNA". It matches the Rfam family "Bacterial small subunit ribosomal RNA", at positions 28 to 507 of the family's 1533-position model. The record is from RNAcentral.